UACGUAGGGAGCUAGCGUUGUUCGGAAUUACUGGGCGUAAAGCGCGCGUAGGCGGAUUGUUAAGUCAGGGGUGAAAUCCUGGAGCUCAACUCCAGAACUGCCUUUGAUACUGGCGAUCUCGAGUCCGGGAGAGGUGAGUGGAACUGCGAGUGUAGAGGUGAAAUUCGUAGAUAUUCGCAAGAACACCAGUGGCGAAGGCGGCUCACUGGCCCGGUACUGACGCUGAGGUGCGAAAGCGUGGGGAGCAAACAGG
Molecule: ribosomal RNA, 253 nt
Filed under: uncultured bacterium
Lineage: Bacteria
Description: partial 16S ribosomal RNA
Rfam family: Bacterial small subunit ribosomal RNA
Source: RNAcentral